Molecule: unclassified non-coding RNA, 190 nt
Filed under: uncultured Herpotrichiellaceae
Lineage: Eukaryota; Fungi; Ascomycota; Eurotiomycetes; Chaetothyriales; Herpotrichiellaceae
Description: sequence contains ITS1
Source: RNAcentral
CAGAGUUCAUGCCCUUCGGGGUAGAUCUCCACCCGUGUUUAUUUAUACCUUUGUUGCUUCGGCGGACCCGUCUCACGACCGCCGGAGGACCGCCCGCAAGGCGUCCUCUGGCCAGCGUCUGCCGACAGCCAACCACUUAAACUCUGAAUAAAUCGUGUCACAUGUCUAAGUAAAUUGAUUAAAUAAAGCA